UACUGAAUUAUCCAACGUUGUACUUGC
This 27-nucleotide small RNA is filed under the name Bombyx mori (domestic silkworm). RNAcentral describes it as "ovarian small RNA-21447". Lineage: Eukaryota; Metazoa; Arthropoda; Insecta; Lepidoptera; Bombycidae. The record is from RNAcentral.